AGAGAUGAAGAUUCUGAAGGUGAUAUUGAUGAGGACCCCGAAGUUGAUGAUUUAACUACUCCAUUGAGUGCUAACAGAAGUGCAGAUCAUUCUAUUGAAGCAAACACUUGUUCAGGAAGUGGAAAAGAUAAUUUAUGCAAUGGUAUUCCAUUAAUUGCACAAAAUGAGCUUGUUAAAGAACCUUCAUCUAUCCAUCUGAAUGGUCCAAAGGAUG
This 214-nucleotide unclassified non-coding RNA is filed under the name Hevea brasiliensis (rubber tree). The record is from RNAcentral. Lineage: Eukaryota; Viridiplantae; Streptophyta; Magnoliopsida; Malpighiales; Euphorbiaceae.